This 404-nucleotide ribosomal RNA is filed under the name Actinomycetes bacterium. RNAcentral describes it as "Actinobacteria bacterium partial 16S ribosomal RNA". It matches the Rfam family "Bacterial small subunit ribosomal RNA", at positions 355 to 776 of the family's 1533-position model. Lineage: Bacteria; Bacillati; Actinomycetota; Actinomycetes. The record is from RNAcentral.
UGGGGAAUAUUGGACAAUGGGCGCAAGCCUGAUCCAGCCAUGCCGCGUGAGUGAUGAAGGCCCUAGGGUUGUAAAGCUCUUUCACCGGUGAAGAUAAUGACGGUAACCGGAGAAGAAGCCCCGGCUAACUUCGUGCCAGCAGCCGCGGUAAUACGAAGGGGGCUUGCGUUGUUCGGAUUUACUGGGCGUAAAGCGCACGUAGGCGGACUUUUAAGUCAGGGGUGAAAUCCCGGGGCUCAACCCCGGAACUGCCUUUGAUACUGGAAGUCUUGAGUAUGGUAGGGGAGAGGGGAAUUCCGAGUGUAGAAGUGAAAUUCGUAGAUAUUCGGAGGAACACCAGUGGCGAAGGCGGCUCACUGGACCAUUACUGACGCUGAGGUGCGAAAGCGUGGGGAGCAAACAGG